CGGGGGGGGCGAAGCGUUGUUCGGAAUUACUGGGCGUAAAGGGCUCGUAGGCGGCCAACUAAGUCAGACGUGAAAUCCCCACGGCUCAACCUGGGAACUGCGUCUGAUACUGGUUGGCUUGAAUCCGGGAGAGGGAUGCAGAAUUCCAGGUGUAGCGGUGAAAUGCGUAGAUAUCUGGAGGAAUACCGGUGGCGAAGGCGGCAUCCUGGACCGGCAUUGACGCUGAUGAGCGAAAGCCAGGGGAGCAAACGGGAUUAGAUACCCCGGUAGUCCUGGCCCUAAACGAUGAAUGCUUGGUGUAACGGGUAUCGAUCCCUGUUGUGCCGAAGCUAACGCAUUAAGCAUUCCGCCUGGGGAGUACGGUCGCAAGGCUG
Molecule: ribosomal RNA, 374 nt
Filed under: uncultured organism
Description: bacterial SSU rRNA
Rfam family: Bacterial small subunit ribosomal RNA
Source: RNAcentral